This 399-nucleotide ribosomal RNA is filed under the name Clavispora lusitaniae. Its description in RNAcentral is "eukaryotic LSU rRNA". It matches the Rfam family "Eukaryotic large subunit ribosomal RNA", at positions 109 to 524 of the family's 3401-position model. Lineage: Eukaryota; Fungi; Ascomycota; Pichiomycetes; Serinales; Metschnikowiaceae. The record is from RNAcentral.
UCAAAUUUGAAAUCCUGCGGGAAUUGUAAUUUGAAGGUUUCGUGGUCUGAGUCGGCCGCGCCCAAGUCCAUUGGAACAUGGCGCCUGGGAGGGUGAGAGCCCCGUAUGGCGCACGCCGACUCUUUGCACCGCGGCUCCGACGAGUCGAGUUGUUUGGGAAUGCAGCUCUAAGUGGGUGGUAAAUUCCAUCUAAAGCUAAAUAUUGGCGAGAGACCGAUAGCGAACAAGUACAGUGAUGGAAAGAUGAAAAGCACUUUGAAAAGAGAGUGAAACAGCACGUGAAAUUGUUGAAAGGGAAGGGCUUGCAAGCAGACACGGUUUUACCGGGCCAGCGUCGAAAAGGGGGGAGGAACAAGAACUCGAGAAUGUGGCGCGCACCUUCGGGCGCGCGUGUUAUAG